UAUGGGUUUUUCUGUCAAAUCACACUGUUCACUUUUCAGAUAGAAUCUUGAUUCAAGUCUUGAAGUGUGAGGUUGGAUAUUUCAUCCAAUCUUGGUAUAAGUUUUAUAUUUAAAGUUAAUUAUUAGUAUAUCAGAUGUUUUCUUUCAUCAACUGGGUGUCUGUGCUAGUAUUUGACUUUGUCAUCAUCCAAACAUUUGAAACUUGCAGUUUAAAGAGAAUAGAGUACUUUACCUUGUCCCAGAGUCUCUGGCUGGUUCAUUAAAAAAGAAACAUCUUGGUGAUCAAGUGUGUUUGAACACGGGUACCACUAUGGUUCUGUUAGGAAAAGUCUUGGCCGUUGGGAGUGAGGAGUUUGUGAACGAAGAUAACGAAAUGUACGCCGAAAUUCAGGUUUUAUGCCACAGACCGGGAUGUGUUGAAUUCCUUGAUAAUGUUAUUCCUGGUCAAAGCAAGGAGCUUGACGCCUAUGUCCCAAUAGUUAGAUUAUAUACAAAUCUACUAACCAAAGUAUCACGAGAUAUGAAAACAUUGCCAGAAGAACCUCCACGGGCAACGGUGCUUACGGAAUUAAGCAAUUUAAAGGCAUGGGAUGGCAGUUACAAAACUACAAAAAAGAUAUGGCAAUAGAAUGAAAUAAAAUAAAGGAACCACACCAAAUUAAUUGUGUGUAAUAUGGGUCAUGGGUCAGACAUGUACACUAUAGAACAAUGGUGUUUUAGACAGAAGAUUAGACGAAUAAAACUAAACCAUGAUCAUGAACACAACUGACGACUUUGCGGCAAACCAAUGGUGGAGUGAAAUAAAUAAAUGUGAUUUGGGUAAGAUUUGCUCCGGGCAAAUUCAAUGGUCAUUCCUGAAUAACUCAAUUAUUAAUUGGCAAUCAUUACUUGCCAAUUAUAUACUUAAAUCCAGAUAUUCUGUGCAAUGUGAUGUGUAAUGUGAUGUACAACGUGGUGUUAAAUGUGAUGUGAAAUGCGAUGUCAUGUUGUCUGCUAUAUUUCUUGAAUACCGGUAGAUAGAAAAAAACUGCCAUACUACAGAAGAAACUAGUCAACUAGGCUUUCCGAUUUGGACACAUUAAGAGUUAGCUGAUUUGGAAGAAUUAGUUGAUGAGUGACACAAAAUAUUGUUCUAGUGUCAUGUAUUUUAGUCAAUCAGGGAUUUGUAGGGCGUCCAAUCGCAACAUUAUUGUACUUUUGUAAAUUGUAGAUUUUA
Molecule: long non-coding RNA, 1216 nt
Organism: Patella vulgata (common limpet)
Lineage: Eukaryota; Metazoa; Mollusca; Gastropoda; Patellidae
Exons: 7
Source: RefSeq, a predicted model, not a curated record